RNAcentral lists this ribosomal RNA (474 nucleotides) under uncultured bacterium. RNAcentral describes it as "bacterial SSU rRNA". It matches the Rfam family "Bacterial small subunit ribosomal RNA", at positions 8 to 526 of the family's 1533-position model. The record is from RNAcentral.
AGAGUUUGAUCCUGGCUCAGAGCGAACGCUGGCGGCAGGCCUAACACAUGCAAGUCGAGCGGCCGUAGCAAUACGGCAGCGGCAGACGGGAGAGUAACACGUGGGAACGCGCCCUUCGGUUCGGAAUAACUCAGGGAAACUUGGGCUAAUACCGAAUACGCCCUUACGGGGAAAGAUUUAUUGCCGAAGGAACGGCCCGCGUCCGAUUAGCUAGUUGGUGAGGUAACGGCUCACCAAGGCGACGAUCGGUAGCUGGUCUGAGAGGAUGACCAGCCUCACUGGGACUGAGACACGGCCCAGACUCCUACGGGAGGCAGCAGUGGGGAAUAUUGGACAAUGGGCGCAAGCCUGAUCCAGCCAUGCCGCGUGGGUGAUGAAGGCCCUAGGGUUGUAAAGCCCUUUCAGCGGGGAAGAUAAUGACGGUACCCGCAGAAGAAGCCCCGGCUAACUUCGUGCCAGCCGCCGCGGUAAUUC